AUGCGAACUCACACCUGGGGCUGUAGUAGUUCCAAGGGUUGGGCUGUUCGCCCAUUAAAGCGGUACGUGAGCUGGGUUCAGAACGUCGUGAGACGGUUC
Nicotiana attenuata is the source of this 99-nucleotide ribosomal RNA. It matches the Rfam family "Bacterial large subunit ribosomal RNA", at positions 2529 to 2632 of the family's 2925-position model. The record is from Rfam. Lineage: Eukaryota; Viridiplantae; Streptophyta; Magnoliopsida; Solanales; Solanaceae.